This 169-nucleotide ribosomal RNA is filed under the name Coprinopsis sp. RNAcentral's name for it is "partial large subunit ribosomal RNA". It matches the Rfam family "Eukaryotic large subunit ribosomal RNA", at positions 99 to 261 of the family's 3401-position model. The record is from RNAcentral. Lineage: Eukaryota; Fungi; Basidiomycota; Agaricomycetes; Agaricales; Psathyrellaceae.
CGGGAAAAGCUCAAAUUUAAAAUCUGGCGGUCUUUGGCCGUCCGAGUUGUAAUCUAGAGAAGUGUUACCCGCGCCGGACCGUGUAUAAGUCUCCUGGAAUGGAGCGUCACAGAGGGUGAGAAUCCCGUCUUUGACACGGACUCCCGGGGCAUUGUGGUGCGCUCUCAAA